UUGGGGGCAGUUAUCUCCGAGAGCUGAAUGCGAGCGCGUUAGCGCGAAGCAGCUGAUACCACGCUUCCAAGAAAAACUUCGUGGGGAGACUGCAGGUCAUCCGUACCGUAAACCGACACAGGUGGGCGAGGAGAAAAUCCUAAGGCGCCUGAGAGAACUCUCCUCCAAGGAACUAGGCAAAUUGACACCGUAACUUCGGAAGAAGGUGUGCCCUAUGUAGGUGUAGCCGUACAGGCGAAGCCGAAUAGGGUUGCAAAGAAUAGGCGGUAGCGACUGUUUACCAAAAACACAGGACUCUGCGAAGGCACGAAGCCGACGUAUAGGGUCUGACUCCUGCCCGGUGCUGGAAGGUUAAGGGGAUCCGUCAGCGCAAGCGAAGCGGUGAUCCGAAGCCCCAGUAAACGGCGGCCGUAACAAUAACGGUCCUAAGGUAGCGAAAUUCCUUGUCGGGUAAGUUCCGACCUGCACGAAUGGAGUAACGACUUCCGCACUGUCUCGGAGAGGGACUCAGCGAAAUUGAAAUAGCUGUGCCGAUGCAGUUUACCCGUGGAAAGACGGAAAGACCCCGUGCACCUUUACUAUAACUUGACAGUGACACUAGGGAUUGACUGUGUAGAAUAGGUGGGAGCCUUUGAAGCCGGGCCGCUAGGUUCGGUGGAGGCAAAAGUGAAAUACCACCCUGUUGAUUUCUGGUGUCUAACCUCGUCCCCUCAUCGGGGACAGGGACACUGUCUGGUGGGUAGUUUGACUGGGGCGGUCGCCUCCCAAAGAGUAACGGAGGCGCGCGAUGGUUCCCUCAGCCUGAUUGGAAACCAGGCGACGAGUGCAAUGGCAUAAGGGAGCUUGACUGCAAGAGAGACAUCUCGAGCAGGUGCGAAAGCAGGUCAUAGUGAUCCGGUGGUCCUGAAUGGAAGGGCCAUCGCUCAACGGAUAAAAGGUACGCCGGGGAUAACAGGCUUAUCUCCUCCAAGAGUUCACAUCGACGAGGAGGUUUGGCACCUCGAUGUCGGCUCAUCGCAUCCUGGGGCUGGAGCAGGUCCCAAGGGUUUGGCUGUUCGCCAAUUAAAGCGGUACGCGAGCUGGGUUCAAAACGUCGUGAGACAGUUUGGUCCCUAUCUUCCAUGGGCGUAGGAGGCUUGAGAGGCUCUGACCUUAGUACGAGAGGACCGGGUUGGAGACACCUCUGGUGUACCAGUUGUCAUGCCAGUGGCAUCGCUGGGUAGCCAUGUGUCGAUUGGAUAACCGCUGAAAGCAUCUAAGCGGGAAACCGACCUCAAGAAUUGGCCUCCCGGGGGCAACCCCCUGAAGACCCGUCGCAGACUACGACGUUGAUAGGCCGGAUGUGUAAGUGAA
Molecule: ribosomal RNA, 1353 nt
Filed under: metagenome
Description: bacterial LSU rRNA
Rfam family: Bacterial large subunit ribosomal RNA
Source: RNAcentral